RNAcentral lists this ribosomal RNA (878 nucleotides) under Cellulomonas flavigena. Its description in RNAcentral is "bacterial SSU rRNA". It matches the Rfam family "Bacterial small subunit ribosomal RNA", at positions 115 to 1003 of the family's 1533-position model. Lineage: Bacteria; Bacillati; Actinomycetota; Actinomycetes; Micrococcales; Cellulomonadaceae. The record is from RNAcentral.
ACGUGAGUAACCUGCCCCUGACUCUGGGAUAAGCCUUGGAAACGAGGUCUAAUACCGGAUAUGAGACGUACAGGCAUCUGUUGCGUCUGGAAAGAUUUAUCGGUGAGGGAUGGGCUCGCGGCCUAUCAGCUUGUUGGUGGGGUGAUGGCCUACCAAGGCGACGACGGGUAGCCGGCCUGAGAGGGCGACCGGCCACACUGGGACUGAGACACGGCCCAGACUCCUACGGGAGGCAGCAGUGGGGAAUAUUGCACAAUGGGCGCAAGCCUGAUGCAGCGACGCCGCGUGAGGGAUGACGGCCUUCGGGUUGUAAACCUCUUUCAGCAGGGAAGAAGCGCAAGUGACGGUACCUGCAGAAGAAGCGCCGGCUAACUACGUGCCAGCAGCCGCGGUAAUACGUAGGGCGCAAGCGUUGUCCGGAAUUAUUGGGCGUAAAGAGCUCGUAGGCGGUUUGUCGCGUCUGCUGUGAAAACCUAAGGCUCAACCUUGGGCUUGCAGUGGGUACGGGCAGACUAGAGUGCGGUAGGGGUGACUGGAAUUCCUGGUGUAGCGGUGGAAUGCGCAGAUAUCAGGAGGAACACCGAUGGCGAAGGCAGGUCACUGGGCCGCAACUGACGCUGAGGAGCGAAAGCAUGGGGAGCGAACAGGAUUAGAUACCCUGGUAGUCCAUGCCGUAAACGUUGGGCACUAGGUGUGGGGCUCAUUCCACGAGUUCCGUGCCGCAGCAAACGCAUUAAGUGCCCCGCCUGGGGAGUACGGCCGCAAGGCUAAAACUCAAAGAAAUUGACGGGGGCCCGCACAAGCGGCGGAGCAUGCGGAUUAAUUCGAUGCAACGCGAAGAACCUUACCAAGGCUUGACAUACACCGGAAAAGUGCAG